This 405-nucleotide ribosomal RNA is filed under the name uncultured bacterium. RNAcentral describes it as "partial 16S ribosomal RNA". It matches the Rfam family "Bacterial small subunit ribosomal RNA", at positions 30 to 525 of the family's 1533-position model. The record is from RNAcentral.
AUUGAACGCUGGCGGCAGGCUUAACACAUGCAAGUCGAGCGAGCGGCGGACGGGUGAGUAAUGUCUGGGAAACUGCCUGAUGGAGGGGGAUAACUACUGGAAACGGUAGCUAAUACCGCAUACCAUCAGAUGUGCCCAGAUGGGAUUAGCUAGUAGGUGGGGUAAUGGCUCACCUAGGCGACGAUCCCUAGCUGGUCUGAGAGGAUGACCAGCCACACUGUAAGUGAGACACGUUCCAGACUCCGACGUGAGGCAGCAGUGGGGAAGAUUGCACAAUGGGCGCAAGCCUGAUGCAGCCAUGCCGCGUGUAUGAAGAAGGCCUUCGGGUUGUAAAGUUCGUUCGGUAGCGAGGCGUUAACUACAGAAGAAGCACCGGCUAACUCCGUGCCAGCAGCCGCGGUAAAC